This 591-nucleotide long non-coding RNA is filed under the name Pan troglodytes (chimpanzee). RNAcentral's name for it is "lincRNA". Lineage: Eukaryota; Metazoa; Chordata; Mammalia; Primates; Hominidae. The record is from RNAcentral.
CCAGAGGCUGGGUCUAAUUAGUUGAGAAGCAGUGACACCCCCAACCACUCCCCAAACAGGCUGGCUCCCGUCUCCAGGCCCCAAGGAGCCACACCUGGACCAGACCCCAGGAAAGACAUGUGGUGGAAACCCUACGGCCCUGGAGCCCAAGGAGAGCAACGGCUGUAACAAGUGCACAGGCAAGGGCACUAGCUGGUGGGAGCCACCCCGCCAUGCUGAUGUCAGAGAAGCAAGAACUCUGGAGAAGCAGCCUCCUGGGACCAGAGGAGGGCCAGCAGCAGGCAGCCCGGAGACAGAACUCUCACCCACGCCUCUCCAAGCCUCCCGACAGAAGACAGAGGUCCCCCACAGCCAGAGACAUUUCCUGAAGACAUGGGGAACACAGAGGCAGAAACAGCCCAUCCACCCAGGAGCUGUCCCCCACACUGCCGGGAGCCGGCACCCAGAGCCGCCAGGUAAAACUGAGGCCACCUGGUUCAACAUCGCCUUUCAUAGAAGGGGAAGCAGCCACAGAAAGAAGGGCCUGGUAAGAAGUGGAACCUGGGACCCCCAAGCGGUGUCUCUCAUCCUGACUGGGGAUCCAGAGUAGGA